Molecule: ribosomal RNA, 896 nt
Filed under: Plectosphaerella cucumerina
Lineage: Eukaryota; Fungi; Ascomycota; Sordariomycetes; Glomerellales; Plectosphaerellaceae
Description: eukaryotic LSU rRNA
Rfam family: Eukaryotic large subunit ribosomal RNA
Source: RNAcentral
GCAUAUCAAUAAGCGGAGGAAAAGAAACCAACAGGGAUUGCCUCAGUAACGGCGAGUGAAGCGGCAACAGCUCAAAUUUGAAAUCUGGCUCCUUCGGGGCCCGAGUUGUAAUUUGCAGAGGAUGCGUCGGGUACGGGUGCCUUCCGAGUUCCCUGGAACGGGACGCCAUAGAGGGUGAGAGCCCCGUCUGGUAGGAUACCCAGCCCGUGUGACGCUCCCUCGACGAGUCGAGUAGUUUGGGAAUGCUGCUCUAACGGGAGGUAUACUCCUUCCAAGGCUAAAUACCGGCUGGAGACCGAUAGCGCACAAGUAGAGUGAUCGAAAGAUGAAAAGCACUUUGAAAAGAGAGUCAAACAGCACGUGAAAUUGUUAAAAGGGAAGCGCUCGCUACCAGACUUGGGUUCGGCGGUUCAACCGGGGCCACGCCCCGGGGCAUUCCGCCGGCCCAGGCCAGCAUCAGCUUUCCGUCGGGGGUAAAGGCGUCGGGAAUGUGGCUCCCCUUCGGGGGAGUGUUAUAGCCCGUCGUGUCAUACCCUUCGGGGGGCUGAGGUACGCGCUUCUGCAAGGAUGCUGGCGUAAUGGUAGCUAGUGACCCGUCUUGAAACACGGACCAAGGAGUCAACCUUAUGUGCGAGUGCCCGGGCGUAAAACCCCAGCGCGGAAUGAAAGUGAACGUAGGUGAGAGCUUCGGCGCAUCACCGACCGAUCCUGAUGUCCUCGGACGGAUUUGAGUGAGAGCAUAUAGGGUUGGACCCGAAAGAAGAUGAACUAUGCGUGUGUAGGGUGAAGCCAGAGGAAACUCUGGUGGAGGCUCGCAGCGGUUCUGACGUGCAAAUCGAUCGUCAAACAUGCGCAUGGGGGCGAAAGACUAAUCGAAUCUUCUGGUAGCUGGUUUC